UUGUGACUUAUGGUUUAACGUUCAAUGUUUGCCUAUUUUAACUAUUCAAUUGGCCUAAGAGAUUAGGGGAUUAUAGUGUAAAAUAGUGAGUUAUACACCAUGAGAAUGAGUAUAGUGGCUUAGUUAAACCGUCAUGGUAAUUGAAUUGAUCAUUAUAAGGGUAUUAGACGCUAACAUCCAUAGUGACAUACAAGGGAUUCAA
RNAcentral lists this long non-coding RNA (202 nucleotides) under Trifolium pratense (red clover). Its description in RNAcentral is "long non-coding RNA (TPRA_LNC000602)". The record is from RNAcentral. Lineage: Eukaryota; Viridiplantae; Streptophyta; Magnoliopsida; Fabales; Fabaceae.